This 429-nucleotide ribosomal RNA is filed under the name bacterium. RNAcentral's name for it is "partial 16S ribosomal RNA". It matches the Rfam family "Bacterial small subunit ribosomal RNA", at positions 355 to 776 of the family's 1533-position model. The record is from RNAcentral.
UAGGGAAUCUUCGGCAAUGGGGGCAACCCUGACCGAGCAACGCCGCGUGAGUGAAGAAGGUUUUCGGAUCGUAAAGCUCUGUUGUAAGUCAAGAACGGGUGUGAGAGUGGAAAGUUCACACUGUGACGGUAGCUUACCAGAAAGGGACGGCUAACUACGUGCCAGCAGCCGCGGUAAUACGUAGGUCCCGAGCGUUGUCCGGAUUUAUUGGGCGUAAAGCGAGCGCAGGCGGUUUGAUAAGUCUGAAGUUAAAGGCUGUGGCUCAACCAUAGUUCGCUUUGGAAACUGUCAAACUUGAGUGCAGAAGGGGAGAGUGGAAUUCCAUGUGUAGCGGUGAAAUGCGCAGAUAUAUGGAGGAACACCGGUGGCGAAAGCGGCUCUCUGGUCUGUAACUGACGCUGAGGCUCGAAAGCGUGGGGAGCGAACAGG